CCUACGGGUGGCCGCAGUCGAGAAUCUUCCGCAAUGGGCGAAAGCCUGACGGAGCGACGCCGCGUGAUGGAUGAAGUCCCUAGGGACGUAAACAUCUUUUAUGAGGGAGAAAGUUUAUUGAUAGUACCUCAUGAAUAAGGGGUUGCUAAACUCGUGCCAGCAGCAGCGGUAAUACGAGUGCCCCGAGCGUUAUCCGGAAUCAUUGGGCGUAAAGGGUGUGUAGGUGGUUGUGUUAGUCAAUUGUUAAAACCCGGGGCUUAACCCCGGAAGUGCGAUUGAAACGGCACGACUAGAGGAUGGCAGGGAUGUGUAGAACUCAUGGAGUAGGGGUGAAAUCCGUUGAUAUCAUGGGGAAUACCGAAAGCGAAGGCAGCACAUUGGGCCACUCCUGACACUGAAACACGAAAGCGUGGGUAGCGAAUGGGAUUAGAUACCCUUGUAGUC
RNAcentral lists this ribosomal RNA (444 nucleotides) under uncultured Parcubacteria group bacterium. Its description in RNAcentral is "bacterial SSU rRNA". It matches the Rfam family "Bacterial small subunit ribosomal RNA", at positions 338 to 795 of the family's 1533-position model. The record is from RNAcentral.